Long non-coding RNA from Homo sapiens (human), 428 nucleotides. Ensembl annotates it as long intergenic non-protein coding RNA 685. Lineage: Eukaryota; Metazoa; Chordata; Mammalia; Primates; Hominidae. The record is from Ensembl.
AUAACGGGGCUCGUCUUUCUACGUUACUUUAUGUGGGAGUAGUUGUAAAACAGAAUGAGGGAGACCGCGGGGAUUGUGCGGAAAUGUAGCCACCGUUUACAUGUCGGGAGGCUGAGGUGGGAGGAUCGCUUGAGCCCAGGAGUUUGACACCAGCCUGGGCAACAUGGUAAGACCCCUUCUCUACCCUCCCCCCCAAAAAAAAAAUUUUAGUGUGGCAUGGUGGUGGGUGCCUGUGGUCCCAGCUACUCGGGACGCUGAGGUGGGAGGAUUGCUUGAGCCCAGGAGUUUGACACCAGCAUGGGCAAUAUGGUAAGACCCCAUUAUCUACAAAAAAAAAAAAAAAAGAAAAGCCGGGCGUGGUGGUGGGUGCCUGUGGUCCCAGCUGCUCGGGACGCUGAGGUGGGAGGAUUGCUUGAGCCCAGGAGUUU